Molecule: ribosomal RNA, 1584 nt
Filed under: Orphella pseudohiemalis
Lineage: Eukaryota; Fungi; Kickxellomycota; Orphellales; Orphellaceae
Description: eukaryotic LSU rRNA
Rfam family: Eukaryotic large subunit ribosomal RNA
Source: RNAcentral
GUUAGAAUCUCCAAGGCCCCUUUGUUUGUCUUGGCGAAAUGUAAUCUAUGGAUUGCGGAUUUUAUGGUCAGUGGUUCUUUUAAUGUGAUCAAAACUAGUUGAAUCUAGUACCAAUGAGGGUGAAAGUCCCGUUCAUGGUCAUGUUGAGGAUUGCUAUUGUACCCCGUUUUCCUCGAGUCGGGUUGUUUGGGAAUGCAGCCCUAAAUGGGAGGUAAAUUUCUCCUAAAGCUAAAUAUUUGCAAGAGACCGAUAGAAUACAAGUACCGUGAGGGAAAGGUGAAAAGUACUCUGAAGAGAGAGUGAAAAGUACGUGAAACUGUUGGUAGGGAAGCGUUUGCACAGCACACUUGUCUGCAUAUAGUUUCGGCUAUGUGUAUUGGCAGCCUUGCACCAAUUUCUUCUGCUUGAAAAAGCCUACUGGAAGGUAGGGAGUCUUCAGAUCAGUUUGCUCUCGGGCAGGCUGGACCGGCUUCUGUUUAUAGACGGUAGGUAAUAAAGUGGGUGGAGAUUGAGGAAUGCUAAGCAGCGGAUCCUUAACGGGGUCUGCGGUCCCUCCUUGUUCCCCAUGCCUGGACCUUUGAUUCGACAUUUCUAUGACAGUUGAAGGGAUAACAUCAGGUUGGAUUUUGAAUGAGGGUCGUAGGAACAAAUGCUUAACGGGAUGUAGGGAAGUGCUGAACAAUCGACCCGUCUUGAAACACGGACCAAGGAGUCUAACACUAGUGCGAGUUGUUGGGAUUUUAUUAAACCCAUGGGCGUAAUGAAAGUGAGGAGUGUUUCAUAGCACUUGCUGGUACCAAUCUUUAGUGUCUUCGGAUGCGAGAUGCAGUACCCUCCAACCAGAAAGAGUUUACUUUGACUGGGUUGAGAGUGAGCACUUGUGUUAGGACCCGAAAGAUGGUGAACUAUACUUGAAUAGGGUGAAGCCAGGGGAAACCCUGGUGGAGGCUCGUAGCGAUUCUGACGUGCAAAUCGAUCGUAGAAUUUGAGUAUAGGGGCGAAAGACUAAUCGAACUAUCUAGUAGCUGGUUCCUGCUGAAGUUUCCCUCAGGAUAGCUGGUGCUCGUUAUGAACAGUUCUAUGGGGUAAAGCGAAUGAUUGGAGACCUUGGGGCUGAAACAGCCUCAAUCUACUCUCAAACUUUAAAUCUGUAGGAUGUCUGGGUUACUUGAAUUAUGAACCCAGACCUUAUGAAUGAGUAGCACCAAGUGGGCCAUUUUUGGUAAGCAGAACUGGCGCUGCGGGAUGAACCGAACGGAGAGUUAAAGUGCCCUAAUAUACGCUCAUUUAGACACCACAAAAGGUGUUGGUUCAUAUAGACAGCAGGACGGUGGCCAUGGAAGUCGGAAUCCGCUAAGGAGUGUGUAACAACUCACCUGCCGAAUGAACCAGCCCUGAAAAUGGAUGGCGCUUAAGCGUAUUACUUAUACUCUUCCCUUAACGACCAUGGGUAUUGUUUUUGACGGUAACUUGUGGAGGAUUCGUUAAGGAGUAAGCAGGCGUGGAGGUUCAAGAGAGAGGGAAUUAAAAACGCCCUCUUUUGUAAGCGUAGAAGCUAUGGAAGUGAUUCCUAGUGGAGCAACC